This 779-nucleotide ribosomal RNA is filed under the name uncultured Neocallimastigales. RNAcentral's name for it is "partial large subunit ribosomal RNA". It matches the Rfam family "Eukaryotic large subunit ribosomal RNA", at positions 23 to 635 of the family's 3401-position model. The record is from RNAcentral. Lineage: Eukaryota; Fungi; Neocallimastigomycota; Neocallimastigomycetes; Neocallimastigales.
UAUGUGAUCGUCUCUUGCAUAUCAAUAAGCGGAGGAAAAGAAACUAACAAGGAUUCCCCUAGUAACGGCGAGUGAAGCGGGAAGAGCUCAAAUUUGAAAUCUUAAAGGGUUUCCCUUUACGAAUUGUAGUUUAAAGAAGUGUUUUCUGUUGAGGUUUUGGUAAAAGUUCUUUGGAAUAGGACAUCAUAGAGGGUGAGAAUCCCGUAUUUGACCUUUACUUUCAACUUUGUGAUACACUUUCAAAGAGUCGGAUUGUUUGGGAAUGCAGUCCAAAAUGGGUGGUAAAUUUCAUCCUAAAGCUAAAUAUUGGCGAGAGACCGAUAGCGAACAAGUACCGUGAGGGAAAGAUGAAAAGAACUUUGAAAAGAGAGUUAAACAGUACGUGAAAUUGUCAAAAGGGAAGCGUUUGACACCAGUGUUGUUUUUCUGAAAAUCAAUUAAAGAACUGUUUAUGCUAAGUUGUUUAGACUUUAUCAGCUAAUCUGUUUAGUUUUGAGCUUUUCUUUAAUGCACUUUUCAGUUAACAAGUCAACAUCAAUUUCUUUUGCUGUAAAAAAGCUUGAGGAAGGUGGCUUGAGAUUCGUCUUAAGUGUUUAUAGCCUCUUGCCUAUGCAGUCGGAGAGAUUGAGGUCUGCAGCGUAGAUCCUUCGGGGCUAAAUGCAUUUGUGCUAAGUUAUUAUAGCAUUUUAUAGACAACUUGUUGACUAUGAUUUGUCUUGUAGCUUACUCGCUUAUGUUAUUUUACCUACGCUUAGGAUGUUGAUCUACAGAGCGAGAGU